RNAcentral lists this ribosomal RNA (485 nucleotides) under uncultured bacterium. RNAcentral describes it as "bacterial SSU rRNA". It matches the Rfam family "Bacterial small subunit ribosomal RNA", at positions 899 to 1397 of the family's 1533-position model. The record is from RNAcentral.
ACUCAAAGGAAUUGACGGGGACCCGCACAAGCGGUGGAUCAUGUGGCUUAAUAUGACGCUACGCGUAGAACCUUACCGAGGCUUGACAUCCCUGGAACCCCUGAGAGAUCAGGGGGUGCCGCAAGGAAUCAGGUGACAGGUGCUGCAUGGCCGUCGUCAGCUCGUGUCGUGAGAUGUUGGGUUAAGUCCCGCAACGAGCGCAACCCUCAUCGUAUGUUGUAUUUUUCAUGCGAGACUGCCCGGGCCAACCGGGAGGAAGGUGGGGAUGAAGUCAGGUCGGCAUGGCCCUUACGCCUCGGGCCGCACACGUGAUACAAUGGCCGGUACAACGCGCCGCCAAGUCGCAAGACGGAGCUAAUCGCAUCAAAACCGGUCCCAGUUCGGAUUGGAGGCUGCAACUCGCCUCCAUGAAGUCGGAAUCGCUAGUAAACGUGGGUCAGCACACUACGUUGAAUACGUUCCCGGGUCUUGUACACACCGCCCGU